UGUGAUGUCAAAUUAAGAAUAUAUGAUCUUUUUUAUCUUACAUGAUGAAGCCAGUUGCUCGUCUUCUAAUGUUUGUGGGAGCUCUGUCUUUGAGAAUCUCCCUUUUUAUGUAAUCGUCUCCUUCUAUCAGCUACAAAGUGUUUAAAUGUAAGUAUCUCUCUUGUCAUGGCAGGGAAGUUGGGAGUAAGAUGAAACAAUCAAAGAUGCAGCACAAUGUAAGAUGGUGGGGGAAGCUGGAGUGAAGUUGAGUGUAAACUGGGACCAUGGUACUUCGAGAACAAUGCUGGUAACUUCGCCUAUGUAGCAGAACAACCUGAAUCUUGGCCUGUGAUAGAUGAAUGUGUGUAAGGCAAGAAAGCUGUGCCAAAACGGGUGAACAAUAGAAGCAAUAGUAAGUCGUGUCACAUCACAAAGCAAGAGGAGCAGAGAGGAACUGUUUCCAGGAAUCGAACGUACUUCCAGUGGUUGAGCAAGCUCAAAUAUUUUCUCCCCCACUACCAAGUUCUACUGAAGAAGCAUAAUCUCCAUUCAUAUCGUAUCAACAUGAUAGAAAUAGUUUGUUAAUAUGAAGCACAACAAAUUAUCCAUCUAGCACUAGGAUUAAGUAUAACUAAUACUAGUGGAUAUAAUCUUGAUGAUGUUACUAUUACAUUUGUAGAUAAAUUAACCACUUAAAUUAUGUCACAUCCUUUAAUUGUAUUGCAUUACUCUCAUUAGUGGAUAUUCAGAUU
Solanum stenotomum is the source of this 731-nucleotide long non-coding RNA. RefSeq lists it as uncharacterized. NCBI's taxonomy places the organism in Eukaryota, Viridiplantae, Streptophyta, Magnoliopsida, Solanales, Solanaceae. The transcript is spliced from 3 exons. The record is from RefSeq and is a predicted model, not a curated record.